GCCCUGAUGGUGGAAUUGGUAGACACGUGGGACUCAAAAUCCUAUUCCGUCAAUGGAGUGCGAGUUCGAUUCUCGCUUGGGGCACCA
RNAcentral lists this transfer RNA (87 nucleotides) under Candidatus Altimarinota bacterium. Its description in RNAcentral is "tRNA-Leu". It matches the Rfam family "tRNA". Rfam says of the family: Transfer RNA (tRNA) molecules are approximately 80 nucleotides in length. Their secondary structure includes four short double-helical elements and three loops (D, anti-codon, and T loops). The record is from RNAcentral. Lineage: Bacteria; Candidatus Altimarinota.